This 464-nucleotide ribosomal RNA is filed under the name uncultured bacterium. Its description in RNAcentral is "partial 16S ribosomal RNA". It matches the Rfam family "Bacterial small subunit ribosomal RNA", at positions 28 to 507 of the family's 1533-position model. The record is from RNAcentral.
GACGAACGCUGGCGGCGUGCUUAACACAUGCAAGUCGAACGGAAAGGCCCUGCUUGCAGGGUACUCGAGUGGCGAACGGGUGAGUAACACGUGGGUGAUCUGCCCUGCACUUCGGGAUAAGCCUGGGAAACUGGGUCUAAUAACGGACAGGAGCCACUCUUAGUGUGAUGGUUGGAAAGUUUUUUCGGUGUAGGAUGAGCUCGCGGCCUAUCAGCUUGUUGGUGGGGUAAUGGCCUACCAAGGCGGCGACGGGUAGCCGGCCUGAGAGGGUGGACGGCCACAUUGGGACUGAGAUACGGCCCAGACUCCUACGGGAGGCAGCAGUGGGGAAUAUUGCACAAUGGGCGCAAGCCUGAUGCAGCAACGCCGCGUGGGGGAUGACGGCCUUCGGGUUGUAAACUCCUUUCGCUAGGGACGAAGCGUUUGUGACGGUACCUAGAGAAGAAGCACCGGCUAACUACGUG